GACGAACGCUGGCGGCGUGCUUAACACAUGCAAGUCGAACGGAAAGGCCCUGCUUUUGCGGGGUGCUCGAGUGGCGAACGGGUGAGUAACACGUGAGUAACCUGCCCUUGACUUUGGGAUAACUUCAGGAAACUGGGGCUAAUACCCGAUAGGAGCUCCUGAUGCACGGUGGGGGUUGGAAAGUUUCGGCGGUUGGGGCUGGACUCGCGGCUUAUCAGCUUGUUGGUGGGGUAGGGGCUUACCAAGGCUUUGACGGGUAGCCGGCCUGAGAGGGUUGCCGGCCACAUUAGGACUGAGAUAGGGACCAGACUCCAACGGGAGGCAGCAGUGGGGAAUAUUGCGCAAUGGGCGGAAGCCUGAUGCGGCAACGCCGCGAGCGGGAUAACGGCCUUCGGGUUGUAAACCGCUUUCGCCUGUGACGAAGCGAGAGUGACGGUAAUGGAUAAAGAAGCACCGGCUAACUACGUG
RNAcentral lists this ribosomal RNA (468 nucleotides) under uncultured bacterium. RNAcentral describes it as "partial 16S ribosomal RNA". It matches the Rfam family "Bacterial small subunit ribosomal RNA", at positions 28 to 507 of the family's 1533-position model. The record is from RNAcentral.